Non-coding RNA from Gasterosteus aculeatus aculeatus (three-spined stickleback), 728 nucleotides. Lineage: Eukaryota; Metazoa; Chordata; Actinopteri; Perciformes; Gasterosteidae. The record is from RefSeq and is a predicted model, not a curated record.
AUCUCGGCCUCCGCAGAGUACUGCCUGCUGCUGCCGUCCCGUCUGCGCUCCAGGGCCACUGAACACAGCAAGACAAUUUGUGAAAUUGGCGGAGAACCGGGUCUUCCUGCCCAGUCCACGAGUGACAUUAGCAGAGAGGAUCAUGGGAUGUCCAUCAGCGGCCACUUUGGCUUCAAGAUGAAAACGCGUUCUCUGCUCUGACAGGAGCGUCUGAGUGUCAACCAAACCCUGAUGACAACACCAAGAAAAUCAUUUUAAGGUCAAAUCUUUCCUGCAGUUUAAUUCUAAUAUAAUAAAUCACAAUGCCUACCAUGACAUAAUAAUGAGACCCAUCAAUCAACAGCUCCAGCUUUCCCGACUUUAUGUUCCUCUCCUGCUCAAGUUGCCCUGAGAAAACAACACAGCAUGAGAAUAUACCCUGGACAGAUGGGUUUUUAUUAUGGUGUUCGUGUGUGACCAACCCUGUAUUUGGAUGAUUUUCAGCGGAUGGGUGAUCCUCAACAACAGUCUGCGAGGGUUGAAGGUGAGGUCCACAGACAUGUCCCUGGGAAUGGAGGACUGGGGUGUGGCCAGGAGGAGGUGGAUGGAGGCCUCUUCGGGGAGCCAGCUGCCCCUCUGAAACACAAGUUGGACCAGCGUUGGAGCAGCGAGUAAGCGGCCUCCAGCAGGUAGUAAUGGAGGCCUCUGUCCAGCUUCAGCAGCCUGAGGGAGAGGUGGACCGGUCCAGG